This 27-nucleotide small nuclear RNA is filed under the name Arabidopsis thaliana (thale cress). RNAcentral describes it as "snRNA_04940". Lineage: Eukaryota; Viridiplantae; Streptophyta; Magnoliopsida; Brassicales; Brassicaceae. The record is from RNAcentral.
GCCACGAUCCACUGAGAUUCAGCCCUU